GAUCAUGGCUCAGGAUGAACGCUAGCUACAGGCUUAACACAUGCAAGUCGAGGGGCAGCAUGGUCUUAGCUUGCUAAGACCGAUGGCGACCGGCGCACGGGUGAGUAACGCGUAUCCAACCUGCCCACCACUUGGGGAUAACCUUGCGAAAGUAAGACUAAUACCCAAUGACAUCCCACGAAGACAUCUGAAUGGGAUUAAAGAUUUAUCGGUGAUGGAUGGGGAUGCGU
This 230-nucleotide ribosomal RNA is filed under the name uncultured bacterium. RNAcentral describes it as "partial 16S ribosomal RNA". It matches the Rfam family "Bacterial small subunit ribosomal RNA", at positions 15 to 236 of the family's 1533-position model. The record is from RNAcentral.